Molecule: long non-coding RNA, 701 nt
Filed under: Gallus gallus (chicken)
Lineage: Eukaryota; Metazoa; Chordata; Aves; Galliformes; Phasianidae
Source: RNAcentral
CUCUAUUUGUGCCCCCCCCAUAAAUUGGACCCUCCCCCAUAAUAGCUGCCCCCCUCCAUACCUGCCCCCCAAAUUCCUCGGGGGGGCCCCCAGCGGCCGCCCCCCCCCCCUCCUCCUCCUCCUUUUCGGGGGGGGCUCCGUGGGGGGGCUGCGGGGGGGGGGGAGGGGAGGGGGGGGCGCUCCCAACGCUGUGCCCCCCCCCGCUGGCACCGCCCCCCCCCCGUCCUUCUCGGGGGGUUCGUUCUCAGCAUUGCCGGGGGUGGGGGCGGCGGGGGGGCGAAUGGUGUCGUCCUCGAGCAGGAAGGUGAGGUGGCUCUGGCGGUAAUUAUCCCCAUAGGAAUCCAGAACCUUCAUCAGGAACCUGCGCUCCUGCUGCAGCCGCCGGGUCAGCCGCUGCACCCAUUGUAGGCGGCACAGAGCGCGGGCGUUCACCUGCUCCAGCUCCCUGCAGCGCCGCCCCAGCGCCGCCAGCUUCCUGCGCGCCAUUUCCUCGCGCCGCCGCCCUUCCUCCCGCCGCUGCUCCUCCUCCUCGUCCUCCUCCUCUCCCCCCCCGCCGGGCCCACCGGGACCCCCCCCGGCUUCGAACUCCACCUCGGCCUCCAGUUCCCCCUCCAGGAUGUGGCCUCCGAAGAGGGGGGGCAGCGCCAGCUCCGAGCCGGGAGGCGCCGAGAACUCCUCGAAGCCGACAGCUGCCAUCGUCC